UCCUUCUUAUCGAAGGCAGUUUCUCAAGAGUGCAUCCCUUGCGGGAUUAGCAACAUGAGAUAGGGGUUGCGCUCGUUGCGGGACUUAACCCAACAUCUCACGACACGAGCUGACGACAACCAUGCAGCACCUCUGCUCGCUCCCUUGCGGGUCGGCCACUGUCUCCAGCGACUUACCACGAGUAGUUCAAGCCCAGGUAAGGUUCUUCGCGUUGCGUCGAAUUAAACCACAUGCUCCACCGCUUGUGCGGGCCCCCGUCAAUUCCUUUGAGCUUCAGUCUUGCGACCGUACUCCCCAGGCGGAAUGCUUAAAGCGUUAGCGACGGCACCCGGGGACUUUAUAACCCCAGACACCAAGCAUUCAUCGUUUAAGGCUAGGACUAC
Molecule: unclassified non-coding RNA, 383 nt
Filed under: uncultured bacterium
Lineage: Bacteria
Description: contains 16S-23S intergenic spacer region
Source: RNAcentral